Molecule: ribosomal RNA, 1606 nt
Filed under: Escherichia coli
Lineage: Bacteria; Pseudomonadati; Pseudomonadota; Gammaproteobacteria; Enterobacterales; Enterobacteriaceae
Description: partial 23S ribosomal RNA
Rfam family: Bacterial large subunit ribosomal RNA
Source: RNAcentral
GGAGCACGCUUAGGCGUGUGACUGCGUACCUUUUGUAUAAUGGGUCAGCGACUUAUAUUCUGUAGCAAGGUUAACCGAAUAGGGGAGCCGAAGGGAAACCGAGUCUUAACUGGGCGUUAAGUUGCAGGGUAUAGACCCGAAACCCGGUGAUCUAGCCAUGGGCAGGUUGAAGGUUGGGUAACACUAACUGGAGGACCGAACCGACUAAUGUUGAAAAAUUAGCGGAUGACUUGUGGCUGGGGGUGAAAGGCCAAUCAAACCGGGAGAUAGCUGGUUCUCCCCGAAAGCUAUUUAGGUAGCGCCUCGUGAAUUCAUCUCCGGGGGUAGAGCACUGUUUCGGCAAGGGGGUCAUCCCGACUUACCAACCCGAUGCAAACUGCGAAUACCGGAGAAUGUUAUCACGGGAGACACACGGCGGGUGCUAACGUCCGUCGUGAAGAGGGAAAUAACCCAGACCGCCAGCUAAGGUCCCAAAGUCAUGGUUAAGUGGGAAACGAUGUGGGAAGGCCCAGACAGCCAGGAUGUUGGCUUAGAAGCAGCCAUCAUUUAAAGAAAGCGUAAUAGCUCACUGGUCGAGUCGGCCUGCGCGGAAGAUGUAACGGGGCUAAACCAUGCACCGAAGCUGCGGCAGCGACGCUUAUGCGUUGUUGGGUAGGGGAGCGUUCUGUAAGCCUGCGAAGGUGUGCUGUGAGGCAUGCUGGAGGUAUCAGAAGUGCGAAUGCUGACAUAAGUAACGAUAAAGCGGGUGAAAAGCCCGCUCGCCGGAAGACCAAGGGUUCCUGUCCAACGUUAAUCGGGGCAGGGUGAGUCGACCCCUAAGGCGAGGCCGAAAGGCGUAGUCGAUGGGAAACAGGUUAAUAUUCCUGUACUUGGUGUUACUGCGAAGGGGGGACGGAGAAGGCUAUGUUGGCCGGGCGACGGUUGUCCCGGUUUAAGCGUGUAGGCUGGUUUUCCAGGCAAAUCCGGAAAAUCAAGGCUGAGGCGUGAUGACGAGGCACUACGGUGCUGAAGCAACAAAUGCCCUGCUUCCAGGAAAAGCCUCUAAGCAUCAGGUAACAUCAAAUCGUACCCCAAACCGACACAGGUGGUCAGGUAGAGAAUACCAAGGCGCUUGAGAGAACUCGGGUGAAGGAACUAGGCAAAAUGGUGCCGUAACUUCGGGAGAAGGCACGCUGAUAUGUAGGUGAAGUCCCUCGCGGAUGGAGCUGAAAUCAGUCGAAGAUACCAGCUGGCUGCAACUGUUUAUUAAAAACACAGCACUGUGCAAACACGAAAGUGGACGUAUACGGUGUGACGCCUGCCCGGUGCCGGAAGGUUAAUUGAUGGGGUCAGCGCAAGCGAAGCUCUUGAUCGAAGCCCCGGUAAACGGCGGCCGUAACUAUAACGGUCCUAAGGUAGCGAAAUUCCUUGUCGGGUAAGUUCCGACCUGCACGAAUGGCGUAAUGAUGGCCAGGCUGUCUCCACCCGAGACUCAGUGAAAUUGAACUCGCUGUGAAGAUGCAGUGUACCCGCGGCAAGACGGAAAGACCCCGUGAACCUUUACUAUAGCUUGACACUGAACAUUGAGCCUUGAUGUGUAGGAUAGGUGGGAGGCUUUGAAGUGUGG